GAGUUUUGGAGAGCUGGGACAGUACCUGUUUUCAUGCUUGCCUACCAUGAGAGGGCCCCAGGACGGGCGUCCAGCUUUUCUCCUUCCUGCCUGACACGCCUUGAACGUCUCAGCUUGGUUUGCCCCAUAGCUGGCUACCUAGCCCCUUCAAUGACUGUUACCACCAGACCGCUAGAGCUGCACACGUUGGCCACCUUAUGACACGGGGCGCCUGCUGCUGCUGCUGCUGCUGCUGCUGGGAUGGUUCUGCAGCGACCACUUCUGCCUCUCCUGCUUCCUUCUCUGGGUCACAGCAAGGAGUCAAGGCCUCUCGAGAGCAGUUGUUUGGGGGAACCUAAUGCUGCAAUACGAGAGUGCCCCACCUGGGCUGGUAGUCCUGGGCGCUGUAAGAAAGCCAGUAGAGCAAGCCAGUGUGAGCAGCCCUGUCCUGACUUCCUUCAGUGAUGGACUCUAUCGUAGAACUAUGGUCUAAAUGGCCCCAGCUGCAGUGGAAGAAGUCUUGAAUGCCCUCCCGAGGAAGAGACAAGGGAAGGGAGACAACUGAAUUCGCUUUUUCCCUCGGCUGAUUAAGGGAAGGCACUUUUGGGGGUGAUCCUGGUGGCUGAGAGACUCUGAUGAGACAUGAAAGGUAAUCCUCCAUAUACCUAUGUAUUGGUACAAUGUGGCCACCAAUCCUGAACUUAAAACUUGGGAAGCAGAGGCAACAAACCUAAAUUUAAGCCCCACUUGUGCUACCUACAAAGACCUUGUUACAAACCCAAACAGAACAGAACAAGAGGAAAUCCUUGAAAUUUUGUUCAUAUUCUAUCAAGGCCAUUGGAUCCUCUGGGAAGGACUUGUGAGCGCUUCUGAGCUUCCUUGGGAGUACGGAAAUCAACCAGGUCUCCCGGAAGAGCAGCCAGUGAAUGUUGAGUUGUCUCUUCAGCCCUGGUGCUAUAUUUUUUAAAAUCAAUUCAGGUGGUUGUAAAACACAGAAAAUAUUACUACUGUAGAGUUUCAAAAUCAGAAACAAAUAAUGGAUGUGAGUCUUCCCGCUGUUUUAUUUAGUUUCAAUGGAAUGGCACCGUAGAUGGAAAGUCACGUGGGCGAGAAGCAGUUUGCCCAGCCAAAUGCUGGUGAAAGACAGGGUACAGUUUCCUGCACUCCUGCGGGAGCACAUUUACAAUAUUGUUUUGGUGGCCUAGCUUUUUAUAUACCCAGACAGCAAACACUUAUUUCUUUAUCGACACAAAAUAGAUUGAUUAUACUACCUGUCAAAAUUAUUGCCUAGUAGGGAAACUCAGGAUAUUUCUUUUCUGAUUCUUAGUACUUUGCAAGACUGUAUAGUGAGUCAUUGUGACUCCCACACAGCUUAGAAGUAACUGAAGGCCACAUUUUAUGACUUGUGCAUGGAAAAUAACAGAUGCACAGUGCACACACAGAGAUGAGAGUGGGCUCCAGCUCAAGCAGCUGUAGCUUCCUGUUGGCUGUAAGUCCAGCUCUGCUGGUAUGGAAGCUAAGGCAGUCUAGACCACCGUCUGCUGUGGGGCUAAGGCAGUCUAGACCACCGUCUGCUGUGGGGCUAAGGCAGUCUAGACCACCGUCUGCUGUGGGGCUAAGGCAGUCUAGACCACUGUCUGCUGUGGGGCUAAGGCAGUCUAGACCACUGUCUGCUGCGAGGGCUAAGGCAGUCUAGACCACUGUCUACUGUGGGGCUAAGGCAGUCUAGACCACUGUCUGCUGUGGGGCUAAGACAGU
This is a long non-coding RNA of Arvicola amphibius (Eurasian water vole), 1737 nucleotides long. RefSeq lists it as uncharacterized. The record is from RefSeq and is a predicted model, not a curated record. The transcript has 4 exons. Lineage: Eukaryota; Metazoa; Chordata; Mammalia; Rodentia; Cricetidae.